This 250-nucleotide ribosomal RNA is filed under the name uncultured bacterium. RNAcentral describes it as "partial 16S ribosomal RNA". It matches the Rfam family "Bacterial small subunit ribosomal RNA", at positions 523 to 769 of the family's 1533-position model. The record is from RNAcentral.
AUACGUAGGUGGCAAGCGUUAUCCGGAUUUAUUGGGCGUAAAGCGAGCGCAGGCGGUUUUUUAAGUCUGAUGUGAAAGCCUUCGGCUCAACCGAAAGAAGUGCAUCGGAAACUGGGAAACUUGAGUGCAGAAGAGGACAGUGGAACUCCAUGUGUAGCGGUGAAAUGCGUAGAUAUAUGGAAGAACACCAGUGGCGAAGGCGGCUGUCUGGUCUGUAACUGACGCUGAGGCUACGAAAGUAGUGGGUAGC